AUUAACGCGAAGAACCUUACCAGGACUUGACAUCUGGCGAAUCUCGGUGAAAGCUGAGAGUGCCUUCGGGAACGCCAAGACAGGUGGUGCAUGGCUGUCGUCAGCUCGUGUCGUGAGAUGUUGGGUUAAGUCCCGCAACGAGCGCAACCCUCGUUUUUAGUUGCCAGCAUUAAGUUGGGCACUCUAGAGAGACUGCCGGGGACAACUCGGAGGAAGGUGGGGAUGACGUCAAGUCAGCAUGCCCCUUACGUCCUGGGCUACACACGUACUACAAUGGUCGAGACAAAGGGCAGCAAACCCGCGAGGGUAAGCGAAUCUCAUCAAACUCGGCCUCAGUUCAGAUUGCAGGCUGCAACUCGCCUGCAUGAAGGAGGAAUCGCUAGUAAUCGCAGGUCAGCAUACUGCGGUGAAUCCGUUCCCGGGUCUUGUACACACCGAAU
RNAcentral lists this ribosomal RNA (440 nucleotides) under uncultured bacterium. Its description in RNAcentral is "bacterial SSU rRNA". It matches the Rfam family "Bacterial small subunit ribosomal RNA", at positions 955 to 1395 of the family's 1533-position model. The record is from RNAcentral.